UUUUUUUUUUUUUUUUUAGAUUUCUGAAAAAAAAAACUAAAAAAAUUUUGGAAUUAAUUCUUUUUAUUUUUUAAAAGCUAAAUCUCCUAAUUUGAUGUUAGGACUCACCUAUGAAACGUUUUUAUUGUUUUAAUAUAAUGUCAUUUUAUUGCUAGCUUUUCAAAGCCCAAAAUACCUUGUGAUAACUAGUAUUUGUUGGUUGUUCUCCCUUUGGUUUAGUCUACUGGACAGCUUCACUACUGACACUACAUACAUUUUGUCCUUUCAAUAAAAAGAGUUGUUUCAAUACUUGGAAC
Molecule: non-coding RNA, 296 nt
Organism: Biomphalaria pfeifferi
Lineage: Eukaryota; Metazoa; Mollusca; Gastropoda; Planorbidae
Source: the annotation of a GenBank genome assembly